Molecule: long non-coding RNA, 4324 nt
Organism: Homo sapiens (human)
Lineage: Eukaryota; Metazoa; Chordata; Mammalia; Primates; Hominidae
Gene: ZNF474-AS1
Product: ZNF474 antisense RNA 1
Exons: 5
Source: RefSeq, a predicted model, not a curated record
AGAGUUUCUGAUUUGUAGCCCUGAGACACAGCUUCUUGUACUCUGUGAAUCCAGACCCCACAGGUUAUGGAAGAAAAGCAACAGACAGAAGAUGGGAAAAACAGGUCACGUUUAUAAGACCAGCUUGAAGACCAUGCCACACUGAGGAGUUUGGUUUUUCGUUAGGCAAAGAAACUAGCUGUUUUUUCUUCAAUGUUCAUCGGAAAACUUGCCCAGCAGCUGUGAGUGACUCUUCAGCUUUCGAAUCAUUGUCUUGGAAUCUUCUAAACCAGGUGAUAAACUCUAAAGCAUCCAUUCUUAACCACAGAAGAGCAGCCCCUGGUAUGAAGCUGGAUCCUCUACAUCACGGCAAACACUUCAGUUUGGACAGUGCAAGGCCAGCAGUCCUGGUAAUAUGGAAACCCUGGGCACUGGAUUUGAUAAAGAACAAGAAGAGCUGUGAUAUCUGUGCCCAGCUCCUGUACUUUGGUGCCAACAAAGGUCUGAAUCCUUGCCUUUAAGAGUAUCAAAUCAGGUCUGGCACAGAGAAAGAAGUUAUUCUUCAUUUUGACAGAUUCUAAGACAGUAAUGUUAACAGAUGUGGGAAAAGUAUGUGUUGGCCCCAGAGUGGCCAGCAUAGAAAAUAAAACAGAGAAAUUUAUCACUCGAUCAGUACCAUCUAAAAGAGAAAGUAGAUCUAUGGAACAUAGGAAUAGGGUAAAAUUAUUUCAUUAGGUUUUAAAUCCAGCCCGUGGGUUAUUUCCACAAACCAUUCUGCUUUAUUGGCUCUGUUCACCGAGGAAUUUUAGUUUAUCAUUUUCCUUGAUACUAGGAAAUUGCAGACACUAAUAUGACUUAAGAAGACAGAUUAGAAAAAUCAAUGCAAUCAAAUAAGCCUCCUUCCCCUAAAUUGUCUCUGCCUCUCUUUCUCUCUCUCUGUCUCUUUCUCCCUCCCUCUCUCUCUCUCUCUCUCUCACGCGCGCACACACACACACACACACACACACACAGAGUCAAUUCUGUUUCCAGCAGAUUAGAAUACUGAGAAAUCCCCAUGACUUUCCCCAGCAACCCCUCCAUCUCCCUUUUGAUAAGGCAAGAGAGGUAAUAUUUACUGAAUGCCAAUUAUAUGCCAGAUAGGGCACAGAUUUUUUGUAAACAUAAUUUUAGUUAAUUCUCAAAUGAUUAUGAAGCAGGUAUUAUUAUUUCAACUUUAUAAGUAAAGAAACUGACUCAGAAAAGACAAGUAAUUUGCCCAAGACUGUCAGUUUCUAAAUGACAGAACUGUGAAUCAAUUCCAGCUCUCUUUGGCUCCAAUACGUGGCUCUUUCCAUUAUUCAUUCUGCCUAAAUUCCUCCAGCAGAGCUUCUUCCCUUUAGUUUUUAUCCCUGUUUUAAUGUAUUAUCCAUAUGCCUCAGGGGAAGGUAACUAAGCUCUCACCAGCUGUUAUGCUUCCUUUUAGAAGAAAGAAGAGGCAAGAAGGAGGAGUGCAGACAAGGCACAGAGGAGAAGCCUCUGAGAGGGACAAAGCAGAAGAGAGAGACUGGGGCUAUGGAACACAAUGUUUUCAAUGCAGCGUCUGGUACCAUGGCAUCUGCAGACCUCAGCCAAUCUAAUGUGAGUGGGAAAGGCCAUGUGAGAGCAGCUGGGACCUAGAGGCAGUAUGGUUUAAGAAAUAUAGGAGCAGCAUUUGAAAGCAAGGAAAUAUUUACUGAAUACUGGUGAGAAGCCAAUGGAAGAGAACAAGAAUAUCUAAGAGAAGCAGUUGUUAUUAGUUGAAAGGUUUAAGACCUACCAGACAACAGAGAAUGCACACACCCUGCGAGAGCCUCACCUUGUGACAUUUGUUCUUUACCUUUUUAUUUUGCCUUUUAGCAUGGCAUGCUGAGCACCUCUGAGUUUUCAGGGAAGGAGCUGACAGAAACAGGAACAGAAUAGCUGGGAGCUCCAAGAUUCACAUUCCUUGCAGGAGCUGGUGUGAGUUUUUGAGGCUGCUGAGUAACAGGAACCGCAGUCUUUGUUGCCUGGAUGUAUCCUGGCAACCUGUCAACAAAAGGGACGGGACUGAGUUCUCUAGUAACUGAUGGGAAACAGAGCAAAGUAGGUAUGGAUUUCAGCUUUCUUUUAAAUUGACUCCAGGAACUUUACCGAUGGACUGAGCAACCAACAGGGACAGAUAAAUUUAAGUCACAGGCUCUUCUUGAUGUAGAAACACAGCGUUUUAUUUUAAAGAAGAAAAGAAAACAAUAUUUACUGAUUAUCUUAUUGAUCUUUUCUAGGGACUUUAAAAAAUACUGUAACGGUUAAUAUUGAGUGUCAACUUGAUUGGAUUGAAGGAUGCAAAGUAUUGUUCCUGGGUGUGUCUGUGAGGGUGUUGCCAAAGGAGAUUAACAUUCCAGUCAGUGGACUGGGAAAGGCAGACCCACCCUCAAUCUGGGUGGGCACCAUCUAAUCAGCUGCCAGUGUGGCCAGAAUAAAGCAGGAAAAUGUGGAAGGACUUGACUUGCUGAGUCUUCUGGUCUUCAGCUUUCUCCCAUGCUGGAUGCUUCCUGCCUUAGAGCAUUGGACUCCAGGUCUUCAGCUUUUGGACUCUCGGACUUACACCAGUGGUUUGCCAGGGGCUCUCAGGCCUUUGGACACAGACUGAAGGCUGCACUGUCGGCUUCCCUACUUUUGAGGUUUUGGGCUUCCCUACUCCUCAGCUUGCAGAUGGCCUAUUGUGGAACUUUACCCUGUGAUCAUAACUCUUUUUGCCCAACAGAAUGUGGACAGCAGAACUGCUUUAUAAAUUGGGAGGAAGGCACACCUGGAAGAUGGUGAUGCCAGCACAAUGGGAAAUGUGCCAGUGUGUAGAAUUCUUCUCUGGUCUUUGUAAAUAGAAAUGCUCACUUUCUAUGUGAAACACCUAAAUGAUUCGAUGCCAAACGCAGAAUAAGUUUAAAGGUAGAACAAGCAAAUAGCUAAACAAGGGAGUGUUUCAGAAAGGAAAUAUGUCAAGCCUUGGCUCAAAAGCAAAACAGUCUUUUCAUGAAGGGAAGUGUUCACAGCAUCUAUUAAAUGCAUACUCAGUCACAAAAAUAAAACCCAUCUGUUUAAUAUUAACAUUUGUAAUAAACAUUUUAAAAAAAGGAAUGUAGAAGGCAAAAAUGUAUUGUAAAACAAAAUGUACACUCUUGGGAUAACUAAAACUUCCUCUGAAAGAAUUGCAGUACUCUAAAGCUUGUUCUUUAUACCAAAAGCAAUAACAAUUAGUUGCAUGACACUGCAAUAGCAGAGGCAUAUUCUGCCCUUUGAGAGGACAGGAUAUUAAUCUGAAAAUUGAGCAUACGCUCCCAUAGUAUAGAAUGCCAAACUUCCUUGGAUGCAACUUGCCAAAGCAAAAUUAUACACCUGAAGUGUGUCCUAAAAUUUAGAGACAGAAAUGAUGUAUUUUAAAAUCAUGACUUAGAUAUUUGAAAGUUUUUGGCUACAUUAGGAAGCUAAUUGUCAUGUACUUCGAUACAGAAUCAAGAUGUACUAAUUUUUAUUGGUACACUGGCAUUAAAUGAAUGUGUAGCAUAUGUUUAAAAGGAUGUAUCUGAGAAGCAAGGAUGAGGGUAAUAGAAUACUAAAGUCUAAACUGAGGGUCGCUUCAAUAUUUUAUUAGCCAUUUUAUGCAUAUGAACACAGACCAUAUUAGAUACUUAGCAAGUAGGGGAAAAAAACCUGUUUCUAUCAGGGGAAGGAUUAUCUCUAUUGAGAAACACAUGUUAAUAGGUCUGUCUAGUUCGGAAGAAGCUGCCUCUCUUGGUCAACAUUGGAUGAUGUGGAGCUGUUCUAUCCAAUAUAACAAGCACUAGCCACAUACAGCUAUUGAAAUGUACAUGGUAAAUUAAUUAAACUCUAAUGUCAUGUUUAAUUCUUUAAGUGCUUAAUAGCCAUAUACAAUUAGUGGCUACCAUACUGUGUAGUGCAGAUUACAGAGCAUUUCCAUCAUCAUAGAACGUUCUAUUGUAUAGGACCGGUCUGGGUAAAGUUUGGGAGAUAGAGAAACUACUCCAUGGGAAUCUUGGAUUUAGGGGCGAGUAAAACUUUCACAAAGUGGCAAGGAGAUCUGAACAGAGAGGCAAAAAUUGCAGUGUCGUGAGAAGCCAGAAUCUUGUCAGAAAAGAGAGACUGUUGGCUAUAGAAAUGUCUGAAGUGUUUUUUCAAAACCGAAUACCUGAGAUUAAAUGUAAACUGCUCCACCUCCUCCCACUGAUACCUUUUGUUACAAAUCUUCAGGAAACCUAGAAUGGAACAACACAGCAAGGGCUGCUGCCUGGGCAUUAGAAAUAGAACACCACACCCAAUGGCUAAAGCUGGU